This 465-nucleotide ribosomal RNA is filed under the name uncultured bacterium. RNAcentral's name for it is "partial 16S ribosomal RNA". It matches the Rfam family "Bacterial small subunit ribosomal RNA", at positions 338 to 795 of the family's 1533-position model. The record is from RNAcentral.
CCUACGGGAGGCUGCAGUAGGGAAUCUUCCACAAUGGGCGAAAGCCUGAUGGAGCAACGCCGCGUGCAUGAAGAAGGUCUUCGGAUCGUAAAACCCCGUUUUUAGAGAAGAAAGUGCGUGAGAGUAACUGUUCACGUUUCGACGGUAUCUAACCAGAAAGCCACGGCUAACUCCGUCCCAGCAGCCGCGGUAAUACGUAGGUGGCAAGCGUUAUCCGGAUUUAUUGGGCGUAAAGGGAACGCAGGCGGUCUUUUAAGUCUGAUGUGAAAGCCUUCGGCUUAACCGGAGUAGUGCAUUGGAAACUGGGAGACUUGAGUGCAGAAGAGGUGAGUGGAAUUCCAUGUGUAGCGGUGAAAUGCGUAGAUAUAUGGAAGAACACCAGUGGCGAAGGCGGCUCUCUGGUCUGUAACUGACGCUGAGGUUCGAAAGCGUGGGUAGCAAACAGGAUUAGAUACCCUUGUAGUC